UUUUGACUGAGAAGUGAGUCGAGUUGUAGUGGGUUUCUUCCUGAAAGCAGAGGGAAGAAAGACUGUGAGUGAGUCGAGAGGGUCAGUGAGUCGACCGUUUCUGAAAGCAGAGGGUACAGAGACGCGAUUCAGUUAUUCUCCUGAGAACACGAUGAGUCGAGGGUUUUCCGUUCACCGAUUCAGUUCUCCUCCUUCGUUCGUCGAAGUGGAAUCUGUCGUUCUCGAGAAGAAAUGGGGACGGUGACAGUGACCCAAAUCCUGAGGUCCGGUUUGCUUGAAUGUUCAAGAUUUUUCCUUGAGAUAUUUUCUCAAGUGAUAACAGGAGCUCGCGAGUUUUCAUCAUGACCAAGCUGCAGUGAAUUUUGAAAGACACAAAUUUGAAGGUAUAUAACCUAUAUAAUGGUCUAGUUGCUGUCUUUUGGGGGAUCUAUUAAGCUACCUACUAUUUUUAGAGCUUGGCUGAUGAUGUUUUUUUAAUAUUACUUGAGCUAUUUUGAGCUCCAAACUAUGUGUACUUUAAUAAUGCCUGAUGGAUCUAACUGCAACUUGGUCUUUAGAUUACUUUUUUAGAUAUCUGGAGGCAGUAACUUGCCCACAUCAGGAGGCAGUAACUUGGUCAUAUUUACUGAUAUCUUAAAAAUAUCAGAAGGUUUUAAUUACUGGAAGAUUCUUCAAGGUUGACCAAGCAUAAAUGAAUACAUGGUCAUGUAUGUUUGGAGAAAUAGAAGUUCCGGCACAGAUUAUUGCAGAAGGUGUUCUCCGUUGCAAUGCACCCUAUUCAACCACCGCCAAUACCCUUUGACUGAUACUCACCAAACAACUCAACCUACAGCUACGUACAUAAAAAUGGAACAAGAUGAAGGAACUUUCGAAUCUCUUUUCCUUUCCAGUUAUCACUUCAAUCAAACAAGAAAAAAACCCUGCCAAGAAGACUUUUUGCCGAAAGCCCCAUUUAAACAAACAAUGAGCUGCGAAAAAUUUAAUGGACAACUCAUUAGUGCUCAAAAAUAUAUUUAAAACUAGUUUAAAAUUAAUUAAGAUUUCAUUAAUAUUUUUAUGGAUUUAUUGUAACAUAUUUUAUAUUUAAAAAUAUUAAUUUUAAUUUAAGUUGUGCUCAAUUUUUAGGAAGUAAAAUGUAUUUUGACACAAAGAAAGAAGAAAAAAGAAAGAAAGAAUUAUAAUUGAAGAAAUGAUAAAAAAAAUGACAUUUUUGAAGGUGAACUAGGCUCAAACCGAGCCCAAUUAGCCUUUUAUCUGAUCAAUUUCUCUAAUAUCAUUUUCAUUUCAUAAAAUUGAUCUCUUCAAUUUUACUUUAUUUUUAUCUUUAACUUUACUAAUCUAGUCUUUAGUUGUAUUUUGUCUCUCUGUGGAUACGCAUAUAGCUCAUUUACUACUGCGACGACAAGGUGAAUUAUUAGGUGAUAACAGCUUUUGACGCUAUUUCCGGGGAAGUAAUUUUACAUUAAAAGUUUGCAUAGUGAAUUAAAUUUAUUUUUAAAGAAAAAAAAGUAGUAUAGGUUUCUUAAUUUCUCUUUUAUUUUUUUUCUAGUA
Molecule: long non-coding RNA, 1551 nt
Organism: Humulus lupulus (European hop)
Lineage: Eukaryota; Viridiplantae; Streptophyta; Magnoliopsida; Rosales; Cannabaceae
Exons: 4
Source: RefSeq, a predicted model, not a curated record